This 253-nucleotide ribosomal RNA is filed under the name uncultured bacterium. RNAcentral describes it as "partial 16S ribosomal RNA". It matches the Rfam family "Bacterial small subunit ribosomal RNA", at positions 524 to 776 of the family's 1533-position model. The record is from RNAcentral.
UACGUAGGGUGCGAGCGUUAAUCGGAAUUACUGGGCGUAAAGCGUGCGCAGGCGGCUUUGCAAGACAGAUGUGAAAUCCCCGGGCUUAACCUGGGAACUGCAUUUGUGACUGCAUGGCUGGAGUGCGGCAGAGGGGGAUGGAAUUCCGCGUGUAGCAGUGAAAUGCGUAGAUAUCGGGAGGAACACCUGAGGCGAAGGCGGGCUACUGGGCCGAUACUGACGCUGAUGCGCGAAAGCCAGGGGAGCGAACGGG